Molecule: ribosomal RNA, 497 nt
Filed under: uncultured bacterium
Lineage: Bacteria
Description: partial 16S ribosomal RNA
Rfam family: Bacterial small subunit ribosomal RNA
Source: RNAcentral
GAUGAACGCUGGCGGCGUGCCUAAUACAUGCGAGUCGAGCGAACGGACGAGAAGCUUGCUUCUCUGAUGUUAGCGGCGGACGGGUGAGUAACACGUGGAUAACCUACCUAUAAGACUGGGAUAACUUCGGGAAACCGGAGCUAAUACCGGAUGAUAUUUUGAACCGCAUGGUUCAAAAGUGAAAGACGGUCUUGCUGUCACUUAUAGAUGGAUCCGCGCUGCAUUAGCUAGUUGGUAAGGUAACGGCUUACCAAGGCAACGAUGCAUAGCCGACCUGAGAGGGUGAUCGGCCACACUGGAACUGAGAAACGGUCCAGACUCCUACGGGAGGCAGCAGUAGGGAAUCUUCCGCAAUGGGCGAAAGCCUGACGGAGCAACGCCGCGUGAGUGAUGAAGGUCUUCGGAUCGGAAAACUCUGUUAUUAGGGAAGAACAUAUGUGUAAGUAACUGUGCACAUCUUGACGGUACCUAAUCAGAAAGCCACGGCUAACUACGUG